Molecule: long non-coding RNA, 1953 nt
Organism: Mesocricetus auratus (golden hamster)
Lineage: Eukaryota; Metazoa; Chordata; Mammalia; Rodentia; Cricetidae
Exons: 3
Source: RefSeq, a predicted model, not a curated record
UAGAGAUGCCAGAGUUCCAAACAGCCAGGACUGUGAUGGAGCAACCAGGUACCCCAGGACAUGGCAAAACCCCAUCUUCCUCAGGUCGCCUAAAGAUGGUCAACACCCCCCUCCCAAGUCAGCAGGAAGCAGUGUUGAGAACUGGACGCCUUUAUUCCCAAACUUGUCACAUCUAACAACCCACCGUUUUAAUAAUAAUAAGAGGAUGCACUGCUUAUGAAGACAUUGUGUUUGGGUUUCAGGAAAAGAGUAAAGCAAGAUGGCUGCUGGACUGUUUGGGAAGAGAAGAACCGGACAUAAAACCGUGAGAGGCUGCCCAAGCCAGUUCCAGUGAGACAACUGAACCAGUGUUCCUGGCCCUUGAUGUCAUCGAAUAAGAAAGGAAACAGCGGGUUCCAGAGUUCCAGUUUCUCAACCUUACAAGCUACUGGAUGAAAGCUUCCUCUGUCCUGAUCGUCUGGGUGCCCAGAGUCGCGCCUAUGCCAGUGUAUUUCUCCAGAGAAACAUAACUUGCCCUAAUGUGUCAGAAAAGAGACUUUGGCAUCACUGCUGGGGUAGUUGCAGCUAUUGAUCUGGAACUACCAUCUCACAGUCUGUAACUACAGCCAGCACAGUGGAUAAACCAACAGGGGAAGUAACAGAGGCUCUCAGCACUCAGAGCUCCUUAAAUAACUUAGCAAAUUUAAAUCUUGAUCAACAAACAUCCUUAAACCUGUUUGCUUACCCUGGCACACAUUUGUGUUAAAACGAGACCUGGGCUCCUUCGUUCUCUAGAGAGAUCCUCCUUGGGGGAAUUAUAGAUGGCAGGCUGUUUAAUCAAAGAAUGGGCUGGGUCCCUAUUUUUGGGCCUUGUAGCCAUAGGACUUAUUUCAUUUGGAAGGCACCUCGGCACUAGACAAGCCCAGGCUCAUUUUGACACUUGAGGGCCACAGAGAAUCCUUCAGCUCAACUAUGGUUGAGCCACAGAAAAAUGAGGCAGCCAAUGAUGGGUGAGACUAAGGGGAUGCCAGCCAACCUAAGACAGGAGGGUCAUGCAGCCUGGGUGAUUUCUCCAUUGACAGGAAAGGUUGCUGUCAACGUCCUAGUCACCUAAGACAGGCGCUAAUUUAUAUAUAUAAAGAAGGAGGAGAUGUUGGGUCCCAGCCCCCACGGAUUUCUGUGCAUUGUUUGUCAGCUGAUAGCCACAGGUGCAUCCUGUUCUCUAGUCCUGGCUUACAGCCCCAGUCUUGCCCACCUGACAUCAACAUCGUGAGGAAAACACGAGUUCUUAGCACCUGGGGUUUUCCCACUGUGCUGUAAGUCUGUAUAUAAGGCUGCUCACUCCUUACAAUACACACACAUGCACACACACGCAGGCACGCACGCACACAGACACACGCAGAGACAAACACAGGCAUUCUCCUUACAACAAACACACACACGAAUUCUCCUGGCAAUAAAGGUGGCAGACUCAUUCUCUUAGCACAAAUAGUUGGACAUCUUGUCUUUCAUUUUCAGCUCAGACUUGUUCGUGGCAAAGACACCACAGUCCACAAAACAAAAAUGCAUCUAACCUGUAAGCCCCACCUGCCCAAGAACAGAUGCUUCCUGAAAUGCUUGUGGCUACUGUUCAUGUAAAACAACAAGCCAUAUUUUUGCUUCCCUAAACAAUUUUGUUUGACCCAACUGCACCAGAUGUGCUUGAUCACAUGUGAGCAGGAGGUAUGUGGGCAGAAAACAUAUCAAGAUGUGUGCUUGCCUCUGAUUGGAUGUAGGCAGGGGGUAUGUAGGCAGGUAAUGUAUGCUUGUCCCUGAUUGUUCCUGACUGGAAAUAUGUAGCCUUAUAGGUUUGCCUUUGUAAGCCUCUGCGAAAUAUGACCCAUGGCCACUUUCUGGGAACCCCAGAGUGGACUGGCUAGAGUCUAUCAUCAUGGCCAGUAUUUAAUUAAAGCUUGCUUCAAAUCUGGCUCAAAA